This is a long non-coding RNA of Lolium rigidum, 148 nucleotides long. RefSeq lists it as uncharacterized. The record is from RefSeq and is a predicted model, not a curated record. Lineage: Eukaryota; Viridiplantae; Streptophyta; Magnoliopsida; Poales; Poaceae. The transcript is spliced from 3 exons.
AUCACAUUGGAGCAUACUCAGGUUGCAUUUGGUUCCCUUCCAGAAACCAGAUCCAUGAUGCCUUCUUUCCUGUCCCGUCGACUUCAGAUUUUUGUAAGAGCAGUCACUCCGGUUUGUGUAAAGGACAUUUGAAAUUCGCGUUGAGCUG